UCCGCCAUAGCUCAGUUGGUAGUAGCGCAUGACUGUUAAUCAUGAUGUCGUAGGUUCAAGUCCUACUGGCGGAG
This 74-nucleotide transfer RNA is filed under the name Streptococcus pneumoniae. RNAcentral describes it as "tRNA-Asn(gtt)". It matches the Rfam family "tRNA". Rfam says of the family: Transfer RNA (tRNA) molecules are approximately 80 nucleotides in length. Their secondary structure includes four short double-helical elements and three loops (D, anti-codon, and T loops). Lineage: Bacteria; Bacillati; Bacillota; Bacilli; Lactobacillales; Streptococcaceae. The record is from RNAcentral.